UUCACAUUUGAUCUUGAUGUGGUGUGAAGCUUUGUUCUAAGAUAUUACCCAUGCUUGUUUAAAAUAGCACCGAUUUGGUGUAAUUUGCGGAUAGCUCAUUAAAAAAUCUGUAACAUACAGCGUAGUGGACUCUUACACGGAUAAACCGGUAACUCCACCAAUAAUAAGUGCAUCAAACAUCAAACUUUUAGGAAGAUGGCAUUUAUUAGCUUUGAACCAACUAUUAAUAAUGUAGUAAUAUGUUAUUAAGUAUAGUGAGUUCUAAUAAUUCAGUGGACCAUUGAUUAAAUUCAAUGGCAGACGCUAUUGACAGAUUAUGUAUUAGCUUGAUAGGAGGGUAGUGGCCUCCUAUGGCAUUGAUGCUAACGGAGAUCUAGAGAUUGAUUCCGGAGAGUUGACCUGAGAGAUCGUCAACACUACUAAGGUAGGCAGCAGGGACGCAAAUUGUUCACUGACGAUACGUCGAAACAGUAACCAACUGUAAUAAUUUAUUCAGGGUUUACUCUGUGAUAAAUUAUUAAUAAAAUAUUUAUUCAAACCCAUUUUGGGAAAAAGAUGGCCAUAGCUUUGCCAGCAGCAGCGGUAAUAAUGCAUCUUUGAGUUUGACAUCCAAUUAUUGCAAUUAAAACGUUCGUAGUUGGUAUUAUUAUUUCAAUUAUUAGUUCUUGUUUGACAAGUUUAAUUAUGCUAAUUUUUAAUUAGUUUUAAUGGCUAAUAACUUUCUGAAAUAACUUGUAUUAUAUUAAUUAAUAGCAAUAUUAAUUAAUAUAAUAUUUUACCAUGAGAAAAAGAGAACGCUAUAAGUGGGCUCUAAUGCUUGAAUCAUUCAGCAUGGGACAAACACAACAGGCUUACAUGUUAUAUAUAGCAAUAUAUAUAAUGUGGUAUUAUAUAAUAAUUGGAAACUUUUAUUAUAUAAUAUUUGAAUUUUGUUGGUAAGUUGGUUUUUCAUAUUCAAGUCAUGAUCGAUAAGGAUGGUUGAGGAGGUGUUUGGAUUCCACAGUUAGAGGUGAAAUUUGAUGAUCUGUGAGAGGACAAACUAAAGCGAAAGCAUUCAUCAAUUACAUUCUUUUUAAUCAAGAACGAAAGUCUGGGUAGCGAAGACGAUUAGAUACCGUUGUAGUCUAGACCAUAAACGAUGAUAUUUCAAGAUAUUAUUUAUGAAAUGUAUAUUAAAAUUUAUUUUUAAUAUAAUAAUACUAUUUCUAUUGUUCAUUUAUUAUUCAAAGGUAACUUUGAUAAUUACUCGACAAAUAAUGAAUUGUGUGGGAAACCAUUAAAAUUUCUUUGUGGAGUGUAUGUUAGCAAUGAUGAAAUUUAAAAGAAUUGACGGAAGUACCACCACCAGGAUUGGAUUAUGCGAUUCAAAUUGACUCAACGCGUGGAAUCUCACCAGUGCCGAACACCGUGAGGAAAGACAGAUUGCAGCUCUUUCUUGAUUCUGUGCUUGUUAAAUGUAGUGCAUGGCCUUUGGGAAGUGAGUGGAUUGAUUUUUCUGAUUAAUUUCGAUAACUAGCGAGACCCAAACCAUGAGGUAUUAUAAUAGCAAUAUUAUGAUACCAUUAUAUGUAAAUACAACUUGAUAAGAAAUUUUUCUUACCAGAAAGCAUUAUAAUUUAUUAUAAUGAGUUGUUCUUAGUGGGACUACUUGUGUUUUAGCAAGUGGAAGCUUUGGGCGAUAAAAGGUCCGUGAUGCUCUUAGAUGUUCUGGGCUAUACGCGUGAUACACUGAUUUAUUCAACAAGUUUUUUGUAUUAAUAGAUUUUAUUAUAUAAGUAAUUAUAUAAUACUAUUAUACCCCUGAUUCGAGAGGAUUGGGAAAUCUUUGAAAAUAAAUCGUGCUGGGGAUUGAAGAUUGUAAUUAUUCUUCAUGAACGAGGAAUUCCUAGUAAGCGCACGUCAUCAUCGUGCAUUGAAUACGUUUCUGGUCUUUGUACACACCGCCCGUCGCUGUUACCGAUUGAUUAUUUUGAUGAGUAUUGGGGAGUUUAAUAUUUAUAUUUCGGUAUUUAUAUAGAAUGAACCACUUCAAAUCACUGUAAUUAGAGGAAGCAAAAGUCGUAACAAGGUAUCGGUAGGUGAACCUGCCGAUGGAU
RNAcentral lists this ribosomal RNA (2096 nucleotides) under Guttulinopsis vulgaris. RNAcentral describes it as "partial 18S ribosomal RNA". It matches the Rfam family "Eukaryotic small subunit ribosomal RNA". Lineage: Eukaryota; Cercozoa; Guttulinopsidae. The record is from RNAcentral.